UACGAAGGGGGCUAGCGUUGUUCGGAAUCACUGGGCGUAAAGCGCACGUAGGCGGGUUCUUAAGUCAGGGGUGAAAUCCCGAGGCUCAACCUCGGAACUGCCUUUGAUACUGGGAAUCUUGAGUUCGGGAGAGGUGAGUGGAAUUGCGAGUGUAGAUGUGAAAUUCGUAGAUAUUCGCAAGAACACCAGUGGCGAAGGCGGCUCACUGGCCCGAUACUGACGCUGAGGUGCGAAAGCGUGGGGAGCAAACAGG
RNAcentral lists this ribosomal RNA (253 nucleotides) under uncultured bacterium. RNAcentral's name for it is "partial 16S ribosomal RNA". It matches the Rfam family "Bacterial small subunit ribosomal RNA", at positions 524 to 776 of the family's 1533-position model. The record is from RNAcentral.